This 468-nucleotide ribosomal RNA is filed under the name uncultured Rhodocyclaceae bacterium. RNAcentral's name for it is "bacterial SSU rRNA". It matches the Rfam family "Bacterial small subunit ribosomal RNA", at positions 917 to 1381 of the family's 1533-position model. Lineage: Bacteria; Pseudomonadati; Pseudomonadota; Betaproteobacteria; Rhodocyclales; Rhodocyclaceae. The record is from RNAcentral.
GACGGGACCGCACAAGCGGUGGAUGAUGUGGAUUAAUUCGAUGCAACGCGAAAACCUUACCUACCCUUGACAUGUCCGGAAUCCCGAAGAGAUUUGGGAGUGCUCGCAAGAGAACCGGGACACAGGUGCUGCAUGGCUGUCGUCAGCUCGUGUCGUGAGAUGUUGGGUUAAGUCCCGCAACGAGCGCAACCCUUGUCAUUAGUUGCCAUCAUUUGGUUGGGCACUCUAAUGAGACUGCCGGUGACAAACCGGAGGAAGGUGGGGAUGACGUCAAGUCCUCAUGGCCCUUAUGGGUAGGGCUUCACACGUCAUACAAUGGUCGGUACAGAGGGUUGCCAACCCGCGAGGGGGAGCUAAUCCCACAAAGCCGAUCGUAGUCCGGAUCGCAGUCUGCAACUCGACUGCGUGAAGUCGGAAUCGCUAGUAAUCGUGGAUCAGCAUGUCACGGUGAAUACGUUCCCGGGUCUU